This 1038-nucleotide ribosomal RNA is filed under the name Thysanoessa macrura. RNAcentral's name for it is "LSU rRNA". It matches the Rfam family "Eukaryotic large subunit ribosomal RNA", at positions 1306 to 1924 of the family's 3401-position model. Lineage: Eukaryota; Metazoa; Arthropoda; Malacostraca; Euphausiacea; Euphausiidae. The record is from RNAcentral.
CUAGCCCUGAAAAUGGAUGGCGCUCAAGCGUCCUCCCGAUACUCGACCGUCGGGGCAGUAACGGCCUUCGCGGGUCUCGAAGCCCCGACGAGUAGGAGGGUCGUGGCGGUGAGCGUUGAAGGGACCGGCGUGAGCCGGCCUGGAGCCGCCGCUAGUGCAGAUCUUGGUGGUAGUAGCAAAUACUCGAGUGAGAUCCUUGAGGACUGACCGUGGAGAAGGGUUCCAUGUGAACAUCAGUUGAACAUGGGUUAGUCGGUCCUAAGCCUCAGCCGAAAGGCGUCUCAGCGCUGGCAAGGUGUCAAUCCAAACUCUUAGUCCAGUAGAGGUCCGGUUGUUAACGCAGCCUCUCCUCGAACGGCGAAGGGGACGCUCCCUCCUAGGUGUCUUAGGCUUACGUCCCUGUAAACCCUAACGCUCUGGAGGUUGGCGUCCUGGUUCCUCCCCCUCGCGGGCGGAGGGUCAGGCGUUUGCCGAUCAACCGUUGUAAAUUUGUAGGCGAAAGGGAAUCUGGUACUUAUUCCAAAACCUCGUCCCCGGAUAAACGUCCCCCGAGCGCUCGCGCGAGGGUAUAACGGUCCUGGUAACGGGAAUGACCCCUGCAUACACUGGCGCGGUCCGGGGAAGAGUUUUCUUUUUCUGUUUAAGACUCCGUGACCCUGGAAGCUACUCGCAAGGCGAUAGGGUCGUGGUAGCGUAGAGCGCCGCGGUUCUUGCGGGCGUCCCGUGCGCCGUCGUCGGUCCUUGAAAAUGCAGGCGAGGGCGGAAACCCAAGGUCGCAUCACGCGUUGGACCCCGGUCCAGUGGAAUUUGCCUCCGACGGGGUAGUAAGCUCUCUGACGUCGACUGGUACCAACAGGUAAAGAGUAAGAGACUCGUCUCCCUCUGAUCCCGUAACACCAGAUCUCCUGUCCGGUCACGUUGGGGUUCUCACCCCUUCACGGACUUUCGGGCGAGCCCGUACCCAUAUCCGCAGCAGGUCUCCAAGGUGAAUAGCCUCUAGUCGAUAGAUUAAUGUAGGUAAGGGAAGUCGGCAAAUUA